Molecule: ribosomal RNA, 434 nt
Filed under: uncultured Lachnospiraceae bacterium
Lineage: Bacteria; Bacillati; Bacillota; Clostridia; Lachnospirales; Lachnospiraceae
Description: partial 16S ribosomal RNA
Rfam family: Bacterial small subunit ribosomal RNA
Source: RNAcentral
ACGGAAGGCAGCAGUGGGGAAUAUUGGACAAUGGGGGGAACCCUGAUCCAGCGACGCCGCGUGAGUGAAGAAGUAUUUCGGUAUGUAAAGCUCUUUAAGCAGGAAAGAAAAUGACGGUACCUGCAGAAUAAGCCCCGGCUAACUACGUGCCAGCAGCCGCGGUAAUACGUAGGGGGCAAGCGUUAUCCGGAUUUACUGGGUGUAAAGGGAGCGUAGACGGCAAUGUGAGUCUGAAGUGAAAGCCCGGGGCUUAACUGCGGGACUGCUUUGGAAACUGUAUGGCUAGAGUGUCGGAGAGGUGAGUGGAAUUCCCAGUGUAGCGGUGAAAUGCGUAGAUAUUGGGAGGAACACCGGUGGCGAAGGCGGCUCACUGGACGAUUACUGACGUUGAGGCUCGAAAGCGUGGGGAGCAAACAGGAUUAGAUACCCUGGUA